GAGACAGUGGCACGAUGGAUAACACAUCUGACUACGAAUAAGAAGAUUCCAGGUUCGACUCCUGGCUGGCUCA
This 73-nucleotide transfer RNA is filed under the name Loxodonta africana (African savanna elephant). It matches the Rfam family "tRNA". Rfam says of the family: Transfer RNA (tRNA) molecules are approximately 80 nucleotides in length. Their secondary structure includes four short double-helical elements and three loops (D, anti-codon, and T loops). The record is from Rfam by way of RNAcentral. Lineage: Eukaryota; Metazoa; Chordata; Mammalia; Proboscidea; Elephantidae.